Mauremys reevesii (Reeves's turtle) is the source of this 676-nucleotide long non-coding RNA. RefSeq lists it as uncharacterized. The transcript is spliced from 3 exons. The record is from RefSeq and is a predicted model, not a curated record. NCBI's taxonomy places the organism in Eukaryota, Metazoa, Chordata, Testudines, Geoemydidae.
GGCUAAAAAGGACUGAGCCCGCUGAGGAGAAGCAGAUUAUAAAAAGAGAAAAAGAAUAUGCUACAAUUCAGCGCUCCAAAAGACUCAGUUUCGCAAAUGAAACCUAAAAAGGAGGCAUAAUUUGGUUAGAAUAAACAAAGUAAAACUCACACACACCCCUCAGAAAUAUUUAACCUGACUUCUAGGAUGAACUAAAUGGACAGCGUUGUGUUUCAUUGAUUGCCGUUGAGAAGCAAAGCUGGGAAAGUAACAGAAAUAUUUCUCUGAUAGGUUGUCCCUCAGUAAAUACAGCCCAUCUUAAAUUCUCAAUUACUGAGGGACAAUCUACACUCAUUGCUAUAUUUGCUUUCCACAACUAAUAUUACUAUAACCUUUUAUGAAUAAUGUACAGUACCUGAAUAUCAGAAUGCUAAUGCCUUAACUGUAUCACUGAAUUUAUUAACCUUAAUUUGGGAUAUUGAAGAUUAUGUACUAUAUGUAUUUUAUGACUUUAAACCAAACUUUGUAUUUUUGGAUAAUUUAAGCAUUAUACCCAGAUGUACAGACACUCUUUCCUUAACCUGUGUAUUAGAUAAUUUUAACAUUAGCUUUAAUAAUUUUUUUAAUCUGUUCUUUUUUAAGUGCCUCAAACAAUGAUUGGUCCGUAGUCAUUAUUGUAAUAAACAUGAAUAAUUAC